GGGGUUGUGGCUCAGCGGUAGAGCGUUUGCCUAGCACGGGCAAGGCCCUGGGUUCGAUCCCCAACACCA
RNAcentral lists this transfer RNA (69 nucleotides) under Marmota marmota marmota (Alpine marmot). It matches the Rfam family "tRNA". Rfam says of the family: Transfer RNA (tRNA) molecules are approximately 80 nucleotides in length. Their secondary structure includes four short double-helical elements and three loops (D, anti-codon, and T loops). Further hydrogen bonds mediate the characteristic L-shaped molecular structure. tRNAs have two regions of fundamental functional importance: the anti-codon, which is responsible for specific mRNA codon recognition, and the 3' end, to which the tRNAs corresponding amino acid is attached (by aminoacyl-tRNA synthetases). tRNAs cope with the degeneracy of the genetic code in two manners: having more than one tRNA (with a specific anti-codon) for a particular amino acid; and 'wobble' base-pairing, i.e. permitting non-standard base-pairing at the 3rd anti-codon position. The record is from Rfam by way of RNAcentral. RNAcentral also lists the same sequence under 3 other names. Lineage: Eukaryota; Metazoa; Chordata; Mammalia; Rodentia; Sciuridae.